AAAUUAGGGGUGCAGCAUGGAUUGUGCUGCUGAGAUUAUACCCGUAGAACCUGAAGCGGAUAAUGCCGCCGUAGGAAAUAU
RNAcentral lists this non-coding RNA (81 nucleotides) under uncultured Prevotella sp. RNAcentral describes it as "TPP riboswitch (THI element)". It matches the Rfam family "TPP riboswitch aptamer (THI element)", at positions 10 to 89 of the family's 105-position model. Rfam says of the family: Vitamin B(1) in its active form thiamin pyrophosphate (TPP) is an essential coenzyme that is synthesised by coupling of pyrimidine and thiazole moieties in bacteria. The record is from RNAcentral. RNAcentral also lists the same sequence under 1 other name. Lineage: Bacteria; Pseudomonadati; Bacteroidota; Bacteroidia; Bacteroidales; Prevotellaceae.